UAUGGGGGGGGGCUAUACAUGCAAGUCGAGCGGACCGACGGGAGCUUGCUCCCUUAGGUCAGCGGCGGACGGGUGAGUAACACGUGGGUAACCUGCCUGUAAGACUGGGAUAACUCCGGGAAACCGGGGCUAAUACCGGAUGCUUGAUUGAACCGCAUGGUUCAAUCAUAAAAGGUGGCUUUUAGCUACCACUUACAGAUGGACCCGCGGCGCAUUAGCUAGUUGGUGAGGUAACGGCUCACCAAGGCGACGAUGCGUAGCCGACCUGAGAGGGUGAUCGGCCACACUGGGACUGAAACACGGCCCAGACUCCUACGGGAGGCAGCAGUAGGGAAUCUUCCGCAAUGGACGAAAGUCUGACGGAGCAACGCCGCGUGAGUGAUGAAGGUUUUCGGAUCGUAAAACUCUGUUGUUAGGGAAGAACAAGUACCGUUCGAAUAGGGCGGUACCUUGACGGUACCUAACCAGAAAGCCACGGCUAACUACGUGCCAGCAGCCGCGGUAAUACGUAGGUGGCAAGCGUUGUCCGGAAUUAUUGGGCGUAAAGCGCGCGCAGGCGGUUUCUUAAGUCUGAUGUGAAAGCCCCCGGCUCAACCGGGGAGGGUCAUUGGAAACUGGGGAACUUGAGUGCAGAAGAGGAGAGUGGAAUUCCACGUGUAGCGGUGAAAUGCGUAGAGAUGUGGAGGAACACCAGUGGCGAAGGCGACUCUCUGGUCUGUAACUGACGCUGAGGCGCGAAAGCGUGGGGAGCGAACAGGAUUAGAUACCCUGGUAGUUCCACGCCGUAAACGAUGAGUGCUAAGUGUUAGAGGGUUUCCGCCCUUUAGUGCUGCAGCAAACGCAUUAAGCACUCCGCCUGGGGAGUACGGUCGCAAGACUGAAACUCAAAGGAAUUGACGGGGGCCCGCACAAGCGGUGGAGCAUGUGGUUUAAUUCGAAGCAACGCGAAG
This 950-nucleotide ribosomal RNA is filed under the name Bacillus licheniformis. Its description in RNAcentral is "bacterial SSU rRNA". It matches the Rfam family "Bacterial small subunit ribosomal RNA", at positions 37 to 966 of the family's 1533-position model. The record is from RNAcentral. Lineage: Bacteria; Bacillati; Bacillota; Bacilli; Caryophanales; Bacillaceae.